GACGAACGCUGGCGGCGUGCUUAACACAUGCAAGUCGAGCGGUAAGGCCCUUUCGGGGGUACACGAGCGGCGAACGGGUGAGUAACACGUGGGUGACCUGCCUUUAGCUCUGGGAUAAGCCUGGGAAACUGGGUCUAAUACCGGAUAUGACCCUAUGGCGCAUGUUGUGGGGUGGAAAGCCUUGUGCGGCUAGGGAUGGGCCCGCGGCCUAUCAGCUUGUUGGUGGGGUGAUGGCCUACCAAGGCGACGACGGGUAGCCGGCCUGAGAGGGCGACCGGCCACACUGGGACUGAGACACGGCCCAGACUCCUACGGGAGGCAGCAGUGGGGAAUCUUGCGCAAUGGGCGAAAGCCUGACGCAGCGACGCCGCGUGAGGGAUGACGGCCUCGGUUGUAAC
Molecule: ribosomal RNA, 398 nt
Filed under: uncultured bacterium
Lineage: Bacteria
Description: bacterial SSU rRNA
Rfam family: Bacterial small subunit ribosomal RNA
Source: RNAcentral